GGGGGUAACGAGUGUAGGUUCAUCUGGGUCCACCUCCCACCCGUGUUUAUUUUACCUUGUUGCUUCGGCGGGCCCGCCUUAACUGGCCGCCGGGGGGCUCACGCCCCCGGGCCCGCGCCCGCCGAAGACACCCUCGAACUCUGUCUGAAGAUUGUAGUCUGAGUGAAAAUAUAAAUUAUUUAAAACUUUCAACAACGGAUCUCUUGGUUCCGGCAUCGAUGAAGAACGCAGCGAAAUGCGAUACGUAAUGUGAAUUGCAAAUUCAGUGAAUCAUCGAGUCUUUGAACGCACAUUGCGCCCCCUGGUAUUCCGGGGGGCAUGCCUGUCCGAGCGUCAUUGCUGCCCUCAAGCACGGCUUGUGUGUUGGGCCCCGUCCUCCGAUCCCGGGGGACGGGCCCGAAAGGCAGCGGCGGCACCGCGUCCGGUCCUCGAGCGUAUGGGGCUUUGUCACCCGCUCUGUAGGCCCGGCCGGCGCUUGCCGAUCAACCCAAAUUUUUUAUCCAGGUUGACCUCGGAUCAGGUAGGGAUACCCGCUGAACUUAAGCAUAUCAAUAAGCGGAGGAA
This 564-nucleotide ribosomal RNA is filed under the name Penicillium sp. JMG302. Its description in RNAcentral is "eukaryotic LSU rRNA". The stretch from base 184 to 336 matches the Rfam family "5.8S ribosomal RNA". Lineage: Eukaryota; Fungi; Ascomycota; Eurotiomycetes; Eurotiales; Aspergillaceae. The record is from RNAcentral.